This 406-nucleotide ribosomal RNA is filed under the name uncultured bacterium. RNAcentral's name for it is "partial 16S ribosomal RNA". It matches the Rfam family "Bacterial small subunit ribosomal RNA", at positions 30 to 526 of the family's 1533-position model. The record is from RNAcentral.
AUUGAACGCUGGCGGCAGGCCUAACACAUGCAAGUCGAACGAGUGGCGGACGGGUGUGUAAUGUCUGUGAAACUGCCUGAUUGAGGGGGAUAACUACUGGAAACGGUAGCUAAUCCCGCAUACCAUCGGAUGUGCCCAGAUGGGAUUAGCUAGUAGGUGGGGUAAAGGGUCACCUAGGCGACGAUCCCUAGCUGGUCUGAGAGGAUGACCGGCCACCCUGGAACUGAGGCACGGUGCAGACGCCUACGGGAGGCAGCAGUGGGGCAGAUUGCACAAUGGGCGCAAGCCUGAUGCAGCCAUGCCGCGUGGAUGAAGAAGGCCUUCGGGUUGUAAAGUACUUUCAGCGGGGAGGCGUUACCCGCAGAAGAAGCACCGGCUAACUCCGUGCCAGCAGCCGCGGUAAUAC